AGUAAAUAGAUACCCGGGUAGUCCACGCCGUAAACGAUGAGUACUAGGUGUAGGAGGUAUCGACUCCUUCUGUGCCGCAGUUAAACACAAUAAGUACUCCGCCUGGGAAGUACGGUCGCAAGAUUAAAACUCAAAGGAAUUGACGGGGGCCCGCACAAGCAGCGGAGCAUGUGGUUUAAAUUCGAAGCAACGCGAAGAACCUUACCUAGACUUGACAUCCCCUGAAUAACGUAGAGAUACGCGAAGCCCUUCGGGGCAGGGAGACAGGUGGUGCAUGGUUGUCGUCAGCUCGUGUCGUGAGAUGUUGGGUUAAGUCCCGCAACGAGCGCAACCCUUAUCAUUAGUUGCUACCAUUUAGUUGAGCACUCUAGUGAGACUGCCCGGGUUAACCGGGAGGAAGGCGGGGAUGACGUCAAAUCAUCAUGCCCCUUAUGUCUAGGGCUACACACGUGCUACAAUGGUGAGAACAACGAGACGCAAUACCGCGAGGUGAGCAAAACUUCAAAACUCAUCUCAGUUCGGAUUGUAGGCUG
Molecule: ribosomal RNA, 533 nt
Filed under: uncultured bacterium
Lineage: Bacteria
Description: bacterial SSU rRNA
Rfam family: Bacterial small subunit ribosomal RNA
Source: RNAcentral